RNAcentral lists this long non-coding RNA (2055 nucleotides) under Vulpes vulpes (red fox). RNAcentral describes it as "lncRNA (ENSVVUG00000001107.1)". The record is from RNAcentral. Lineage: Eukaryota; Metazoa; Chordata; Mammalia; Carnivora; Canidae.
GAACCUCAUCCAAAGCCGUAACCGCUUUGCUUGUUCCACUGCUUGCUUAACUUCUCCCACUGGAGGCUGAAUUCGGGGAUGACCGGAACUGGCGUCCGUGCGCCCCCACUGUUCUCGCAACGCCCCGCUGGCCCGGCCCGUGCACGCGACCACGUGGCCCUGACACAUCACAGAUCCCUGGGGCCUGAGGCCCCAUCAGCCGCCUGGACCAUCACUUGGCGGGUCCCAUCCUGUCUGCACUGGUUCCAACGUCCACAUCCCAAACCUCCCGCCAUCAUCCCGGGGCAACCUCUGUCCCAGCUUCUAGAAGCCACAGGCAUAGCUGGGAAGCCCCUGCCUGGGGCUUUGCCACCCCCAUGAGGUGGAGAAGAGAGGCGAGAAAACACAGGGUGCUGGGCAUUGACGGUGGACGAGGGGGACUGAAGACCCCAGAGAUGAUGCAGAUGCCGACAAAGCAGCGGAGAUGUCCCAGGAGCUGUUUCAAACUCGAGGCGGAGAGAGCAGGGCCUUGGGAUGGAGUCGGGCAUCGGGUGCACAAGCGGCCGGCUUCCCGCUCCCGAGGAUGGGAGCCCUGCCGCACGCGCCCGAACCUGCAGGGCGAAUGGGCCCCAUGAAGAUCCCCGAGGAGCAGCCGCUGGAGGACGGCAUCGCCCCAAAGCUCCACGUCUUGAUUCGGGUCCGGGUCGGCCCAGGGACGCAGGGCUCAAAGCUCAGUGCCCGGGGUCUACAUGUCAUCGCCCAUCGGGGGAAAGCCCUGGGAAGCCGUGAGAGGGAAGCAGGUGGAGGAGGCACGCGCACCCCAAGUCCACGCUUGCAGGGAGCACAGCGCACGCACACCAGUAGCCGUCGAAGCAGGAUUGGGACGACGGAACAUCCUCGCAAAUGCUCAGCAGCCGCGAGCACACACACGAACAGACUCUACAGACAAAGGGCCAAGCGCUGGCACGUGGGCAACCGCAAGGCUGCCAUUCCGGGAGCUGUGGGCAGGGCCCCGGAGGCCACGCUGGCUGGGCCGAGAACCAGGCCCGGCAUCACCGACACGCUCACUGGACAUGCGGCCCCAGCCUUCGGAAUCGGAGCGGACCCCGGGGUUAGCUGUCCGCCCGUUCACGUCUGCAAAGCAUCCCCCUAGACCCCCGUUUAUCCGUCUUCUGCAACCCGGGGGCCCCUCAUGAUCCACGUGAGAUGAUCGCUUCCUCCUCUGACGUUUAAAAUCGUUGCAAGAAUUGAAUACGAGUGAAAGCAAUGCUGGUUCUGAAGCUGUUUCUCCCACUGAGUGCAAGCGUCCGCUCUGGCUCCUCACCCGGCACGUUGAAAGCGGCGCCACCUCCCCAACUCCAGGGGUCAAGGCCGAGGCUACGGCAAGCCCCCCAGGUGGAGAAUGAAUUAUCUAAAGAGCCUCAACCUCCCGGGUUGGGGGGGCGGGAGGAGGCAGGGGCAAUGCAUGGCCCCGGGGUGGAGGGGGGCAGUCCGAGAAGCCCCGGCUUCUGCACGGACCCCUCCAGAGGCAGGAAGCAGGGAGCCCCAUUCCAGGGACAGGCAGGUGUCAGCAACGACUCAAAGCCCGCCGCCCGGUCAUGUCGGUCUCACUGCCCGCGUGCGGCCCCCGAUGGCAGCUCUGUAGCCCUUUCCCGGGCCCCUGACAACAGCCAUCGCUUCCCCCGAGGGCCUCCUUGCUCCAAGCAAACACCCCAAAGUCCUUCCGUGUCCAUCUGGCAACAUGAACGGGAUAUCCCUUCGGAGUCCUACUCGCUCUCCCUCGUAAAAACCCGCAUCUGUCACUGUCCCUCUACGGACACGGCCGGGAGGGAACAUGCUUAAGCUCUGGGCUUUUCUUUUACACCCAACUUUGUCUCCACUGAAAAAUGCAUUCUUAGGGGGCACCCGGGUGGUUCAGCGGUUUAGCGCCACCUUCGACCCAGGUCAUGACCCUGGAGUCCCGGGAUCCAGUCCCGCGCCGGGCUCCCGGCAUGGAGCCUGCUUCUCCCUCUGCCUGUGUCUCUGCCUCUCUCUCUCUCUCAUGAAUAAAAAAAUAAAAUAUUUUUUAAAAAUGCA